RNAcentral lists this unclassified non-coding RNA (142 nucleotides) under soil metagenome. RNAcentral's name for it is "partial internal transcribed spacer 1". The record is from RNAcentral.
CCUAGAGUUGUAGGCUUUGCCUGCUAUCUCUUACCCAUGUCUUUUGAGUACCUUCGUUUCCUCGGCGGGUCCGCCCGCCGAUUGGACAAUUUUAAACCAUUAUGCAGUUGCAAUCAGCGUCUGAAAAAACUAUAAUAGUUAC